UGGGGAAUAUUGCACAAUGGGCGCAAGCCUGAUGCAGCCAUGCCGCGUGUAUGAAGAAGGCCUUCGGGUUGUAAAGUACUUUCAGCGGGGAGGAAGGCGAUAAGGUUAAUAACCUUGUCGAUUGACGUUACCCGCAGAAGAAGCACCGGCUAACUCCGUGCCAGCAGCCGCGGUAAUACGGAGGGUGCAAGCGUUAAUCGGAAUUACUGGGCGUAAAGCGCACGCAGGCGGUCUGUCAAGUCGGAUGUGAAAUCCCCGGGCUCAACCUGGGAACUGCAUUCGAAACUGGCAGGCUAGAGUCUUGUAGAUGGGGGUAGAAUUCCAGGUGUAGCGGUGAAAUGCGUAGAGAUCUGGAGGAAUACCGGUGGCGAAGGCGGCCCCCUGGACAAAGACUGACGCUCAGGUGCGAAAGCGUGGGGAGCAAACA
This 427-nucleotide ribosomal RNA is filed under the name uncultured bacterium. RNAcentral's name for it is "partial 16S ribosomal RNA". It matches the Rfam family "Bacterial small subunit ribosomal RNA", at positions 355 to 774 of the family's 1533-position model. The record is from RNAcentral.